GCGGAUGUAGUUCAGUGGUAGAACUUCAGCCUUCCAAGCUGAUAGCGUGAGUUCGAUUCUCAUCAUCCGCUCCA
This 74-nucleotide transfer RNA is filed under the name Clostridiales bacterium. Its description in RNAcentral is "tRNA-Gly". It matches the Rfam family "tRNA". Rfam says of the family: Transfer RNA (tRNA) molecules are approximately 80 nucleotides in length. Their secondary structure includes four short double-helical elements and three loops (D, anti-codon, and T loops). Lineage: Bacteria; Bacillati; Bacillota; Clostridia; Eubacteriales. RNAcentral also lists the same sequence under 1 other name. The record is from RNAcentral.